Molecule: ribosomal RNA, 897 nt
Filed under: Ilyonectria vredehoekensis
Lineage: Eukaryota; Fungi; Ascomycota; Sordariomycetes; Hypocreales; Nectriaceae
Description: LSU rRNA
Rfam family: Eukaryotic large subunit ribosomal RNA
Source: RNAcentral
GCAUAUCAAUAGCGGAGGAAAAGAAACCAACAGGGAUUGCCCUUAGUAACGGCGUAGUGAAGCGGCAACAGCUCAAAUUUGAAAUCUGGCCUUCGGGUCCGAGUUGUAAUUUGUAGAGGAUGCUUUUGGUGAGGUACCUUCCGAGUUCCCUGGAACGGGACGCCAUAGAGGGUGAGAGCCCCGUCUGGUUGGAUACCGAUCCUCUGUAAAGCUCCUUCGACGAGUCGAGUAGUUUGGGAAUGCUGCUCUAAAUGGGAGGUAUAUGUCUUCUAAAGCUAAAUAUUGGCCAGAGACCGAUAGCGCACAAGUAGAGUGAUCGAAAGAUGAAAAGCACUUUGAAAAGAGAGUUAAAAAGUACGUGAAAUUGUUGAAAGGGAAGCGCUCAUGACCAGACUUGGGCUUGGUUGAUCAUCCAGGGUUCUCCCUGGUGCACUCUUCCAGCCCAGGCCAGCAUCAGUUCGCUGUGGGGGAUAAAGGCUUCGGGAAUGUGGCUCCUCCGGGAGUGUUAUAGCCCGCUGCGUAAUACCCUGUGGCGGACUGAGGUUCGCGCAUCUGCAAGGAUGCUGGCGUAAUGGUCAUCAGCGACCCGUCUUGAAACACGGACCAAGGAGUCGUCUUCGUAUGCGAGUGUUCGGGUGUUAAACCCCUACGCGUAAUGAAAGUGAACGCAGGUGAGAGCUUCGGCGCAUCAUCGACCGAUCCUGAUGUUCUCGGAUGGAUUUGAGUAAGAGCAUACGGGGCCGGACCCGAAAGAAGGUGAACUAUGCCUGUAUAGGGUGAAGCCAGAGGAAACUCUGGUGGAGGCUCGCAGCGGUUCUGACGUGCAAAUCGAUCGUCAAAUAUGGGCAUGGGGGGCGAAAGACUAAUCGAACCUUCUAGUAGCUGGGUUUCCGCCGA